GUCAUGUGAUGAUGGUUCAAAAGGAUAGCAAGAAGAGAAAGCGCAAGGACAAGGCUAAAACUUCGGAUGAGAUCUCGAGUUCUAAGCCUAAACCUGUUGGAAAGCCCAAGGCUGGCCCUGCCGCUUCUGACACUUGCCACCACUGCCAUAAGACUGGUCAUUGGCGGAGGAACUGCAAAUUGUACUUGGAAGAACUCAAAAAGAAGAAGGGAAGUAAGACUUCAUCUUCAGGGACUGAAAAGGACUAGGAAGUGUGCAAGAGGCGAACUGGAUGCUCGCGUCGGCAAUGGUGCAAAAGUUGCUGCGUUGGCCGUUGGCGUUUACUCCUUAUCGCUACCCUCA
Phragmites australis (common reed) is the source of this 342-nucleotide long non-coding RNA. RefSeq lists it as uncharacterized. The record is from RefSeq and is a predicted model, not a curated record. NCBI's taxonomy places the organism in Eukaryota, Viridiplantae, Streptophyta, Magnoliopsida, Poales, Poaceae. The transcript is spliced from 2 exons.